This 433-nucleotide unclassified non-coding RNA is filed under the name uncultured Russula. Its description in RNAcentral is "sequence contains ITS2". The stretch from base 1 to 154 matches the Rfam family "5.8S ribosomal RNA". The record is from RNAcentral. Lineage: Eukaryota; Fungi; Basidiomycota; Agaricomycetes; Russulales; Russulaceae.
AACUUUUGACAACGGAUCUCUUGGCUCUCGCAUCGAUGAAGAACGCAGCGAAAUGCGAUACGUAAUGUGAAUUGCAGGAUUCAGUGAAUCAUCGAAUCUUUGAACGCACCUUGCGCCCUUUGGUAUUCCGAGGGGCACACCCGUUUGAGUGUCGUGACAUUCUCAAAAACUUCUCGGUUUCUCGACCGGGAAGGCUUUGGACUUUGGAGGGUUUUGCUGGCAUUCCUCUGUUGGAGCCAGCUCCUCUGAAAUGAAUUAGUGGGGUCUGCUUGGCCGAUCCUUGACGUGAUAAGAUGUUUUCUACGUCUUGGGUUUUAGCACUCCUGCUUCUAACCGUCUCACAGUAGACAAAUGGUCCACUCGACCCACAAACCUUGACCUCAAAUCGGGUGAGACUACCCGCUGAACUUAAGCAUAUCAAUAAGCGGAGGCU